Molecule: long non-coding RNA, 691 nt
Organism: Daphnia magna
Lineage: Eukaryota; Metazoa; Arthropoda; Branchiopoda; Diplostraca; Daphniidae
Exons: 2
Source: RefSeq, a predicted model, not a curated record
CAUAAUUUUCAGAAAGAAGUCGUGCAGCAGACGACGUCAAGACCACCCACAACUGGAUGGAAAAUGUGAUAAUCGUCUAGACGACAUUUUCGAAUCUAACCAAGUUUUGUUGAUAAGCUGUGAUGACUUUGCCCGUAACCGUUUUCCCAUUAUGGCAUCAUUCCUGAAUUUUAUUCCUUUCCUGAUACAAAAACGCAGUGGCGACCACCAAGAGUCGCCGACCGUCAUUUUCUUUUGUUAAAACUUCAAAAGUUUCUAAAAGAAAAACAUUUCACGUGGCAGUUUUCGUAGAGUGGCCUUUAUGUUUGUAUUUUCCUUCUUGUUUGAAAUUCCAUCUUCUCUUUUGUUAUUGUUAAUCAUCGUGCUACGAAACAGUAUACAAGAAAAAAAAAGGGAUGCGACAAGGCAAUUUAACUGAAAGGUUUCUUGGAUGUUCUCGUCUCUUUUAUCUUCUUCUCUUUCUCUACUCCUUUUUUGGUUGACUGGAGAAGAGAGGCGGUCACCAAAACAUGAAUUAUUGACAAAGUUCAACCUACCGAUGUCUUUGCCUUCAACACAAAUAAAUGUCACACGAUUUCUUCAUUAGAAUUCUCAGAUAUUGAAAAAACAAUUUUCACCAAAAAAAAGUUCUUUUGAAAUACUUUGCUCGUAAAAAAUAAAGGAAAAAUUAAACACAUAAAGUUUGAUCUUU